RNAcentral lists this long non-coding RNA (225 nucleotides) under Populus trichocarpa (black cottonwood). RNAcentral describes it as "long non-coding RNA (PTRI_LNC004357)". The record is from RNAcentral. Lineage: Eukaryota; Viridiplantae; Streptophyta; Magnoliopsida; Malpighiales; Salicaceae.
GCAUGCAGCUGGUGGCUGGCGGCUGGUCGGUGGCAGCUGGUGGUUGCCUUCCUUGACCAUCUAGAUUGAGUUUAAUAUUCAACAAAUCUCCCCUUUAAACUCAAUCGAGGGAUGUCAUGCCAAGCAUGAACACUUCUCAUUUCAAUGCCUUCUCUCUGCUUGUAGCCUUUAUCCACUAAUUUGGCUUUCGUCUUGUAGACCCUUUUGACACCUAUUGCUUUCUUG